GUGUAUAAUACCGGCCACACUUGAUUUUCAACUGGAAAGAGAAACGACCGAUGGAGGUAUCAGGCAAAUAGGGUGCAUUUCUGGGCAUGUGCAGACGACAUUCAUGUUGCUUCGCCUGUUUAAGAUGUUGUCAUUUUCAUCUCCAUCAUUCGGGUCACUUGAAGAGAACAGAAAUAUCGGGUCAUGUUCAGUUACCAGCAUUCCGGACUCGCAGGGAGGUAGCUAAUGUUCCUUUUAAAUGUAGCUAAUGUUAAGGAGAACAAUGGUUCCCAGGGGCACAAGUGAAAUGACACUGCCGGGAAGGCAGGUGCACCAACCGUGGCUUCACGGAAUUGAACAAUCCCCGGCAUGAGCUGAUCCAUGGAGGUUGGCUCUCAUGUCUCAUCGGCACCAUAGCGACUUUGUGAGUGGCAAUUAAUUGAUAAGAGUACGUGUGCUAGAA
This is a long non-coding RNA of Triticum aestivum (bread wheat), 442 nucleotides long. RefSeq lists it as uncharacterized. The record is from RefSeq and is a predicted model, not a curated record. The transcript is spliced from 2 exons. NCBI's taxonomy places the organism in Eukaryota, Viridiplantae, Streptophyta, Magnoliopsida, Poales, Poaceae.